UGAACGCUGGCGGCGUGCUUAACACAUGCAGGUCGAACGAUGAUCCCUAGCUUGCUGGGGGGAUUAGUGGCGAACGGGUGAGUAACACGUGAGUAACCUGCCCUUGACUCUGGGAUAAGCCUGGGAAACUGGGUCUAAUACUGGAUAUGACCGACUAUCGCAUGGUGGUUGGUGGAAAGCUUUUGUGGUUUUGGAUGGACUCGCGGCCUAUCAGCUUGUUGGUGGGGUAAUGGCCUACCAAGGCGACGACGGGUAGCCGGCCUGAGAGGGUGGACGGCCACACUGGGACUGAGACACGGCCCAGACUCCUACGGGGGGCAGCAGUGGGGAAUAUUGCACAAUGGGCGCAAGCCUGAUGCAGCGACGCCGCGUGAGGGAUGAAGGCCUUCGGGUUGUAAACCUCUUUCAGUAGGGAAGAAGCGAAAGUGACGGUACCUGCAGAAGAAGCGCCGGCUAACUACGU
RNAcentral lists this ribosomal RNA (463 nucleotides) under uncultured bacterium. RNAcentral describes it as "bacterial SSU rRNA". It matches the Rfam family "Bacterial small subunit ribosomal RNA", at positions 30 to 506 of the family's 1533-position model. The record is from RNAcentral.